This 84-nucleotide transfer RNA is filed under the name Armatimonadota bacterium. RNAcentral's name for it is "tRNA-Leu". It matches the Rfam family "tRNA". From Rfam's summary of the family: Transfer RNA (tRNA) molecules are approximately 80 nucleotides in length. RNAcentral also lists the same sequence under 1 other name. Lineage: Bacteria; Bacillati; Armatimonadota. The record is from RNAcentral.
GGGCGAGUGGUGGAAUGGCAGACACGCUGGUCUUAGGAACCAGUGCCGCAAGGCGUAGGAGUUCGACUCUCCUCUCGCCCACCA